RNAcentral lists this ribosomal RNA (328 nucleotides) under uncultured eukaryote. Its description in RNAcentral is "partial 18S ribosomal RNA". It matches the Rfam family "Eukaryotic small subunit ribosomal RNA", at positions 1470 to 1796 of the family's 1831-position model. The record is from RNAcentral.
CCCUUAGAUGUCCUGGGCCGCACGCGCGUUACACUGAUGCAUUCAACGAGCUUAUAACCUUGGCCGAGAGGCCUGGGCAAUCUUGUUAACGUGCAUCGUGAUAGGGAUAGAUUAUUGAAAUUAUUAAUCUUGAACGAGGAAUUCCUAGUAUACGCAGAUCAUCAAUCUGCAUUGAUUACGUCCCUGCCCUUUGUACACACCGCCCGUCGCACCUACCGAUUGGAUGGUCCGGUGAAGCCUCGGGAUUGUGGUUCUUGCCGCUUUAUUGUGGCGUGACCGCGAGAACUUGUCUAAACCUUAUCAUCUAGAGGAAGGUGAAGUCGUAACA